AGGAUAAACGCUGGCGGCGUGCCUAACACAUGCAAGUCGAGCGGAAAGGCCCUUCGGGGUACUCGAGCGGCGAACGGGUGAGUAACACGUGAGUAACCUGCCCCAGACUUUGGGAUAACCCUCGGAAACGGGGGCUAAUACCGAAUAUGACUUUGACCCGCAUGGGUUUUUGUGGAAAGUUUUUCGGCUAGGGAUGGACUCGCGGCCUAUCAGCUAGUUGGUGAGGUAACGGCCCACCAAGGCGACGACGGGUAGCC
This 257-nucleotide ribosomal RNA is filed under the name uncultured bacterium. RNAcentral's name for it is "partial small subunit ribosomal RNA". It matches the Rfam family "Bacterial small subunit ribosomal RNA", at positions 26 to 288 of the family's 1533-position model. The record is from RNAcentral.